GGACUCUGAGACAGGUGCUGCAUGGCUGUCGUCAGCUCGUGUGAGAAAUGUUGGGUUAAGUCCCGCAACGAGCGCAACCCUUAUCCUUUGUUGCCAGCGGUUCGGCCGGGAACUCAAAGGAGACUGCCAGUGAUAAACUGGAGGAAGGUGGGGAUGACGUCAAGUCAUCAUGGCCCUUACGAGUAGGGCUACACACGUGCUACAAUGGCGUAUACAAAGAGAAGCGACCUCGCGAGAGCAAGCGGACCUCAUAAAGUACGUCGUAGUCCGGAUUGGAGUCUGCAACUCGACUCCAUGAAGUCGGAAUCGCUAGUAAUCGUAGAUCAGA
This 328-nucleotide ribosomal RNA is filed under the name Serratia sp. 74R. Its description in RNAcentral is "bacterial SSU rRNA". It matches the Rfam family "Bacterial small subunit ribosomal RNA", at positions 1024 to 1353 of the family's 1533-position model. The record is from RNAcentral. Lineage: Bacteria; Pseudomonadati; Pseudomonadota; Gammaproteobacteria; Enterobacterales; Yersiniaceae.